GUCGAGCUACUACGGUAGUGAAGUCAUUGAUGCCAUGCUUCCAGGAAAAGCCUCUAAGCUUCAGAUUAUAAGCAAUCGUACCCCAAACCGACACAGGUGGUCGGGUAGAGAAUACCAAGGCGCUUGAGAGAACUCGGGUGAAGGAACUAGGCAAAAUGGUACCGUAACUUCGGGAGAAGGUACGCUCUUGGCGGUGAAGUCCCUUGCGGAUGGAGCUACUGAGAGUCGCAGAUACCAGGUGGCUGCAACUGUUUAUUAAAAACACAGCACUGUGCAAAAUCGUAAGAUGACGUAUACGGUGUGACGCCUGCCCGGUGCCGGAAGGUUAAUUGAUGGGGUUAGACUUCGGUCGAAGCUCUUGAUCGAAGCCCCGGUAAACGGCGGCCGUAACUAUAACGGUCCUAAGGUAGCGAAAUUCCUUGUCGGGUAAGUUCCGACCUGCACGAAUGGCGUAAUGAUGGCCACGCUGUCUCCACCCGAGACUCAGUGAAAUUGAAAUCGCUGUGAAGAUGCAGUGUACCCGCGGCUAGACGGAAAGACCCCGUGAACCUUUACUACAGCUUGGCACUGAACAUUGAACCUACAUGUGUAGGAUAGGUGGGAGACUUAGAAGCGCAGUCGCUAGAUUGCGUGGAGUCGUCCUUGAAAUACCACCCUUGUAGUUUUGAUGUUCUAACGUUGGCCCCUAAUCGGGGUUGCGGACAGUGCCUGGUGGGUAGUUUGACUGGGGCGGUCUCCUCCCAAAGAGUAACGGAGGAGCACGAAGGUGGGCUAAACACGGUUGGACAUCGUGUGGUUAGUGCAAUGGCAUAAGCCCGCUUAACUGCGAGAAUGACAAUUCGAGCAGGUACGAAAGUAGGUCAUAGUGAUCCGGUGGUUCUGAAUGGAAGGGCCAUCGCUCAACGGAUAAAAGGUACUCCGGGGAUAACAGGCUGAUACCGCCCAAGAGUUCAUAUCGACGGCGGUGUUUGGCACCUCGAUGUCGGCUCAUCACAUCCUGGGGCUGAAGUCGGUCCCAAGGGUAUGGCUGUUCGCCAUUUAAAGUGGUACGCGAGCUGGGUUUAGAACGUCGUGAGACAGUUCGGUCCCUAUCUGCCGUGGGCGUUGGAAGAUUGAAGGGGGCUGCUCCUAGUACGAGAGGACCGGAGUGGACGAACCUCUGGUGUUCGGGUUGUUACGCCAGUAGCAUUGCCCGGUAGCUAAGUUCGGAAUCGAUAACCGCUGAAAGCAUCUAAGCGGGAAGCGAGCCCUGAGAUGAGUCUUCCCUGGCACUUUAAGUGUCCUAAAGGGUUGUUCGAGACUAGAACGUUGAUAGGUUGGGUGUGUAAGCGCUGCGAGGCGUUGAGCUAACCAAUACUAAUUGCCCGUGAGGCUUAACCAU
Molecule: ribosomal RNA, 1381 nt
Filed under: Vibrio aestuarianus
Lineage: Bacteria; Pseudomonadati; Pseudomonadota; Gammaproteobacteria; Vibrionales; Vibrionaceae
Description: partial 23S ribosomal RNA
Rfam family: Bacterial large subunit ribosomal RNA
Source: RNAcentral